Molecule: ribosomal RNA, 123 nt
Filed under: Klebsiella pneumoniae
Lineage: Bacteria; Pseudomonadati; Pseudomonadota; Gammaproteobacteria; Enterobacterales; Enterobacteriaceae
Description: partial 16S ribosomal RNA
Rfam family: Bacterial small subunit ribosomal RNA
Source: RNAcentral
UUUUUAUGAGAGUUUGAGCCUGGCUCAGGACGAACGCUGGCGGCGUGCCUAAUAUAUGCAAGUCGAACGCUUCUUUUUCCACCGGAGAAUGCGCCACCGGAAAAAGAGGAGUGGCGAACGGGU